Molecule: long non-coding RNA, 3648 nt
Filed under: Homo sapiens (human)
Lineage: Eukaryota; Metazoa; Chordata; Mammalia; Primates; Hominidae
Description: HSALNT0164767
Source: RNAcentral
GGAUUGCUCACCGGUGACUCAGUGGUUGACUCAAAGGCUAGAGGGUGGUUUGGGGGUGGAGGCAGAGGUCCAGUGAGCUGGGCUCCACCCUUUCUCUCCCUGCAGUCCCAACUCCAUUUUUAUCUGUGCUAUAUGUUGGAGUCUAGCCAAGAUGUCAUUUGAACAAAGAUUCUGAAAGAUCAAAGAAAAAAGUUUGAAAACCACCAGGACAAUGCUUUCAGGGGACUUUAUCCAAAAGACUGCAACAAUGUAAAGAGAUACGAUUGCUUUUAUUACUGUGAUAUGUUUAAAGUAUUAUAAAUUUUUUAAGAGCUUUGUAAGUGACAGAAGUGAAGACAUGCUCAUUUUAAUGUUACCAGUCAACUCUGAGAAGACUAAAGGUCAAGGGACAAUGAAAAUGUGACCCUUACCAACGACAGAAACUCCCAGGAAGCCACAAUUAACUCAAGACCACCAGGAUAUUUGGGGAAGUUUAUCCUUCUGGAAACCAGAAUUUCUGAUUUGUGGAAAAUUCUAUAGAUAUUCUCUGCCAGACUCCAGCCUAUUUGAUGAAACAAUUGAGGCCAAAGAGAUAAAGUGACAGCCACCAUCAUCCCAACUAAGUUGGAAGGCCAAAUGACAAAAGGAAACAUAAGAACGCAAUUACCUGAAUGACAGAUUAGAACUCAGGGAUUAUUUCUUGAUCCAGGCUUAGUCAAUGGAAGAGCUGGGACAUGAACGCAGGCACAGUUGGUGAACAGUAGAGCCAGGAUUCAGACUCAGGCAGCCUGGCUACAGGGCCUGUUUUCUUCAACCCCAUGGCAUCCUGCCUCUUUUUUUGGGGGGGGGGGUGGUGGGGGUGGAGGGGUGGGGAUGGAGUCUUGUUCUGUCACCCAGGCUGGAGUUCAGUGAGUGGUGCAAUCUCGGCUAACUGCAACCUCCGCCUCCUGGGUUCAAGCGAUUCUCCUGCCUCAGCCUCCCAAGUAGCUGGGACUACAGAUGCGUGCCACCACACCCAGCUAAUUUUUGUAUUUUUAGUAGAGACAGGGUUUCACCAUGUUGGCCAUGAUGGCACGAUGGUCUCGAUCUCUUGACCUCGUGAUCUGCCUGCCUCAGCAUCCCAAAGUGCUGAAAGUGACAGGGUAAGGAUUUGAAACUCAGGCCUGCCUGCCUGUCUCCAACCACUCAGUCUUUUCUUCAGCCACCCUGCGUCCGUUACAAUUCACACACUGUUUGUCACCACUGGCUAAUGGCUUUGGAUAUUUCUUCCUCUUAUCAGUGUGAGACAUCUGGGGAGGCUCCCCUUUUUUUCACCAUUUGAGGACUGAAAGUAAAUUUAGCUUCCUCAGCAGAAAGAAAAGAAGCUGUUUUGGAGGUUGGGAAGAGCUUUAGAAAAUGCGGCAUCACGUCUGUUGCCCCAUUUGAAGAAAGCAGCUCUGGAAAAGGCCUAGGACAUUAGUUGCUACAAAGUUCUAGAUCAUUCUGUGUGGUAAGUAUGCCAUCAUGCCCAUAGCACUCUUCUCUGUCCACAAAAUUCGUCAUAUACUAAUAAAGAAUGGGUGUCUUUGGACAAAGUCAAAGCAAGUUUGUCCAGAGUACUAACUAAGAAGAGACUACAGAGGGAAGCAAAAGGUAGUUCAGUGGCUGAAUUAUCCAAGGAAAGGCCUAGAAUUUGAGUUGUCAUAGACUGAGCAUCAAAGAUUAUGUCUUGGAGCUAUAUAGAACCUUUACUGCCCAAAAAAGAGAGACUAUGGAAACUUCAGUGCUCUGGUAAACAUUUCUUUGAUGCCUUACCAAAACAUAUGCCUUCUGAGCAUUUGAUAUGGUUUGGCUCUGUGUCCCCACCCAAAUCUCAUCUUGAAUUGUAUUCCCAUAAUUCCCACGUAUUGUGGGAGGGAUUCCGUGGGAGAUAAUCUGAAUCACGGGGUGGUUUCCCCCAUACUGUUCUCGUGGUAGCGAAUAAAUCUCAUGAGAUCUGAUGGUUUUAUCAGGGGUUUCCACUUUUGCAUCCUCCUCAUUUUUAUCUUGCUGCUGUCAGGUAAAGAAGUGCCUUUCACCUCCCACUGUGAUUCUGAGGCCUCCCCAGCCAUGUGGAACUGUAAGUCCAAUUUAACCUCUUUUUCUUCACAGUCUCAGGUAUGUCUUUAUCAGCAGUGUGAAAACGGACUAAUAUAGCAUCCGUUGUCCACUUCCUCCUUCCAUCAGUCUGCAAAAUUCCAUUUGGGGAUCCAUGUGGCUUCAGGGAAAUCAACUUUAUCAAUGUUCUCUGUUCCGUGGCAGCAGUGAUGGGUUCAGGGAUGGGCAUGUGACCUAAGCCAGUCCAAUCAGAGUGACUCUCAGGUCUUGCUGAAAGUGCCUGGAAACGAUGCCAUUUCCUUCCUGUUGGGCAUGAUGAAGGAAGCAUCUAGCCCCAGGAGCUCCUUCAGUCAUAUUAGGGCCUAAAAGGUGCCAGCCUUUGAUAAAGACACCAAAGGAUAUGAAAGAUAGCAUAAGACAGAACGGAGAGAUGGAAAGAAGCCAGAUCCUUGGUGAUAUUGUUGAGCCAACAGAUCAAGUUUGGCCUUAAGUCAGCCCUAAUUCUGUGCUUUUCAAUUAGAUAAGACAAUACAUGCCCUUUAUUAUUUAAGCCUAUUUGUGUUAGGAGUUCUAGUCUUUGCAAAUGAAAGCACCUAACUAAUACUAAUGUAGAUCUCUGUGGCCAUCCUUCUGGUAAAAGGAGAAGGCAGAGUCAAGGGUGACAUUACAUUUCCUGAAACUGGCAGCUCCAUCUCAUAGAAAACUCACGCAUUACUCAGUGAAAAAACGACCCCCUGUACACAAUAUCCACGUGGGAAACUCCUACUCACUCAUCAAGACCCAUCUCUAAUGUCCCUUCUGUCUCCUAGACUACAUUUACGUAAAAUUAAUCACUUCCUUCUGUUUUACUUCCAUAGAGGCAUAUUACUCAUUCUUUUAUGUAACUAUAAACACAGAGCAAUUACAUACAGCUCAAGGGCAGAGAAUGUCUUAUUCAUCCCUAAAUGCAUCAAACCCAGCACAAGCACAUAGAUGCUGGAUUCUCCAGGUUGCAUGGCCUUUAACAAGUUCUCUACCAUUCUGACCCUGUUUUCUCUCCUGUAAAAUAGGGCUAAUUGUAUAUGUCAGAGGAUUGUUGUGAAAAAUAUCAAUAACGGAAGCUACAGGAAUUUCACUAAAAUGUGUUUAAUUAUAGUAAAAUUAAAUUGAUACAUAAUUUUGUAAAUCUUCAAUAGUCUUUAGCUCAAUAUUGAUAGCCAAAAAUUAAGCCUGGAGGAUAGAAAUAACUUCUUAACUCUACAGUUGGAAAAGUGUGGGCAUAGAACUUGUCUUUGCCUUCUAGAUCAGGUCUGUGUUGGUAAAUUAGACACCGUGUGGCCUUUCAACAUCCAGGAGCAAGAUGGCAGGAGAAUCAUGCCAACAACUGAGCCAAAGGUAAGAAGCCAAUAUGAUAUGCAUUUGAUUCUGUUACGGAAAUCCACAUAAAAGAAGGCUGCCCAAGUAUAAAACCAACACAGAAGAAAGCAGAGGUAAGAGAUGGAAAAAGAAAUGAGUGAACCAGUGACAGCAAGAGACUGAAGAACAUCAUUUGAUUGCCUGGAAUCAGCUAAGCCUGAAGAGAAGCCUAACCCUAAGCUUUUCAGUUACCCAAGC